GUGGGGAAUAUUGGACAAUGGGCGCAAGCCUGAUCCAGUCAUGCCGCGUGAGUGAUGAAGGCCUUAGGGUUGUAAAGCUCUUUCAGUGGGGACGAUAAUGACGGUACCCACAGAAGAAGCCCCGGCUAACUUCGUGCCAGCAGCCGCGGUAAUACGAAGGGGGCUAGCGUUGUUCGGAUUUACUGGGCGUAAAGCGCACGUAGGCGGAUCGUUAAGUCGGGGGUGAAAUCCUGGAGCUCAACUCCAGAACUGCCUUCGAUACUGGCGAUCUUGAGUCCGGAAGAGGUGAGUGGAACUCCUAGUGUAGAGGUGGAAUUCGUAGAUAUUAGGAAGAACACCAGUGGCGAAGGCGGCUCACUGGUCCGGUACUGACGCUGAGGUGCGAAAGCGUGGGGAGCAAACAGGAUUAGAAACCCGGGUAGUCC
Molecule: ribosomal RNA, 425 nt
Filed under: uncultured bacterium
Lineage: Bacteria
Description: partial 16S ribosomal RNA
Rfam family: Bacterial small subunit ribosomal RNA
Source: RNAcentral